GGGACCGUGGCGGGCACCGGGCAGCACCGUAAAACACACACCGUGGUCGUGAAAACACAAAACUGGGCUCCAGGCUCUUUGUGGGCACUUCACCGGGGCAGUUUUCUCCUAAACUGGGGUUUUGUUCUGCUUCCUUGGGAGACAGCCUGGGAGAAGGGGGAGGACUGUGCCCAAAGAGCUGGCGAAACCCAGGCGGCUGUGGGGUGUGAGAGGGCAGGUGGCAUCCUCUGCCCGGCGUCCCCACUGCGGUGCAGGGAGCGGGGCUCUCAUCUCUUCAUCUGCCGGUGGGUGAGUCACUUGGCAGGGGAGGAAACCGCCGACGGCACCGGGGACGUGGAGGUGGCUGCUGCACCCGUGACGUGUGCUCCAGGCACCCGACGACCACGGUCUAUGGGGCACAACCGGCACCGUCCCCACGGCCCCGCCACACGCUCGGCACCGCGGCCGCCCCGUCCGCAGGGUGACACCAGCCGACACACACACCCCACACACACACCCCCCCGCUGUGCGGCCUCCCUUCUGCUAAUCCCCAGAUUAGCUGCCUGCCCUGCCUGCUUUGUGGGGGCCGGAGCGCCGGCGCUGCCCAAAUUCCCCGGCCCCUGUGCUCAGCUGGUUGCCACAUUCCCCCCCGCCCCAGCCCUGCUGCCCGCGGCCAGCCCUGCGGCACGGAGGGGGUGGACCGGACCCCGAAAUGCCCCAUGCACCCACGGGCCCGCUGGGCACUCACCAUGGCUGCAGCGCGAUUCGUCACCUGGGGGCUGCUCCUGUCCGCCGGGGUCCCUGCCAGGGCUCAGGGGACGCUGCCAGAGGGGCUGUCCCCAGGUGGGACCCUGCAGCGGGGCAGGGACCCCCUGCAUAGCCCUUCCUGGGGACAGCAGUGGCCGGACCCGUCCUCUGCCUGGGAGGCGUCAGGGGAGCCGAGCGGCGCCGGGGCCCCCGGCAGUGAGCGAUGGGGUGGAGGCAGCCCCAUACGCCGGGCCCCACCGCUGCAGGUGGCAGAUGCCACCGGGGCACUCCUGGAGUCAGAAACCACCAUGGCAAGCGCUGGCACCGGGGCCUGGCAGGAUGGCGGCGCAGCCCCAGCCGUGGAAGAGGAGCCCCUCAUCAUCUGGCAAGGACAGGAGGCCAACGGUCAGGACAGCCCUCCGGGGGGGACCUGGCUUCCCCACGGCUCUGCGCUGGGGACACCAGCCCCCAAGGUGCCCACGGAGACGGGGCUGGGCUCCCCAGGGUCAUCCCCAGUCAGGCAGAGUGGCACCAGGCCAGCCAGCACCCCCAGCCCUCGGCCAACCGUGUCCACCAUUGCCCUGACCCCCAUGCUGUCGGUGGGGACAGGGCUGGGGACAGCAGACACCCAUGCAGGGGGACAGCCAGUGGCAGAGGAACCCAUGGCAGCCCCGGGCCUCCCUCAGGGGGCACAGCUCACUCCGGCCAGCAGCAAUGCAGUCCCACUGGGCACUGUCCCCGUCCCCUACCCUACAGGCACGGGGCCAGCCCAAGGUCCCCACGCCAGCCCCGGCUCUGCGCAACCAGUGGGCAACUGGGGGGACCUGGGUGGGCCCCCCAGCACCUCCCUGGCUCUGCCCAGCUCUGCCCCACGGCUGCGACCUGAGCCCUGGACCCAGGUACUUCUGGUCCACCAGCGCAGCACCCGGAGGGCCCCGCUCAGCCGCGCCACCACCAGACCCGGGGACGCAGCCCCUCCUCACAUGGACCCCAUGCUGAUGGGGCAACAUGAACCACAGCCUGCCAAGGGGGCUGCCAUCAGCACCAGCCCUGCACUGUCACCCACCUCCAGCACAGGCACCCCUCGCACCCCCGGCACAGGUAGGAGCUGGUAUGGCAUGGGGGGACUCCUUGGCAGGGACCGAGCUCCUGUGGGUGCCACUGCCUGGCUCUGCCCUCUCUCACAGAGCUGCUUCCUGAGGAAGACGUUGGCUCCCCGCAGCGUGUCCGGGGCGCCGUGGGUGCCGUGA
This is a long non-coding RNA of Calidris pygmaea (Spoon-billed sandpiper), 1976 nucleotides long. Lineage: Eukaryota; Metazoa; Chordata; Aves; Charadriiformes; Scolopacidae. The record is from Ensembl.